RNAcentral lists this ribosomal RNA (729 nucleotides) under Mycolicibacterium gadium. RNAcentral's name for it is "bacterial SSU rRNA". It matches the Rfam family "Bacterial small subunit ribosomal RNA", at positions 94 to 836 of the family's 1533-position model. Lineage: Bacteria; Bacillati; Actinomycetota; Actinomycetes; Mycobacteriales; Mycobacteriaceae. The record is from RNAcentral.
AGUGGCGAACGGGUGAGUAACACGUGGGUGAUCUGCCCUGCACUUUGGGAUAAGCCUGGGAAACUGGGUCUAAUACCGGAUAGGACUACGCGAUGCAUGUCGUGUGGUGGAAAGCUUUUGCGGUGUGGGAUGGGCCCGCGGCCUAUCAGCUUGUUGGUGGGGUGAUGGCCUACCAAGGCGACGACGGGUAGCCGGCCUGAGAGGGUGACCGGCCACACUGGGACUGAGAUACGGCCCAGACUCCUACGGGAGGCAGCAGUGGGGAAUAUUGCACAAUGGGCGCAAGCCUGAUGCAGCGACGCCGCGUGAGGGAUGACGGCCUUCGGGUUGUAAACCUCUUUCAGUGCCGACGAAGCGCAAGUGACGGUAGGCAUAGAAGAAGGACCGGCCAACUACGUGCCAGCAGCCGCGGUAAUACGUAGGGUCCGAGCGUUGUCCGGAAUUACUGGGCGUAAAGAGCUCGUAGGUGGUUUGUCGCGUUGUUCGUGAAAACUCACAGCUCAACUGUGGGCGUGCGGGCGAUACGGGCAGACUUGAGUACUGCAGGGGAGACUGGAAUUCCUGGUGUAGCGGUGGAAUGCGCAGAUAUCAGGAGGAACACCGGUGGCGAAGGCGGGUCUCUGGGCAGUAACUGACGCUGAGGAGCGAAAGCGUGGGGAGCGAACAGGAUUAGAUACCCUGGUAGUCCACGCCGUAAACGGUGGGUACUAGGUGUGGGUUUCCUUCCUU